Molecule: non-coding RNA, 289 nt
Organism: Pelobates cultripes (western spadefoot toad)
Lineage: Eukaryota; Metazoa; Chordata; Amphibia; Anura; Pelobatidae
Source: the annotation of a GenBank genome assembly
UAUGCCUUCUGUACCACAUGGUACAAGCCGAACAUCUCUCCUGAACCUUGCUAUGAAGAUGAACUCUAUCACUGGGUGGAGGUGAAACUCACUGCUCACGACUUCUAUUGUGAUUCUGAAGGCAAUAGCAUGGUCUUGAUCAAACUACCUUCAGAACUCAAGUAUUUAUACCGUCAUUGGGAUACUGCUAUUCCACAUGUCCCUGUUACCAAGUUGAAAACAAAAUCAUGGAAUGAUCUCGGGCCCAUGGCGAAAUUAUGGGCCACCAUGGAUGACUCGAAGUUACAGG